This 215-nucleotide non-coding RNA is filed under the name Alkalimarinus alittae. Its description in RNAcentral is "Alkalimarinus sp. A2M4 6S RNA". It matches the Rfam family "6S / SsrS RNA". From Rfam's summary of the family: E. coli 6S RNA was the first non coding RNA to be sequenced, but its function was unknown until recently. It consists of 184 nucleotides that fold into an extended hairpin structure with a large single-stranded internal bulge. The 6S RNA specifically associates with RNA polymerase holoenzyme containing the sigma70 specificity factor. Lineage: Bacteria; Pseudomonadati; Pseudomonadota; Gammaproteobacteria; Alteromonadales; Alteromonadaceae. The record is from RNAcentral.
AGUUUCCUGGUGUGUUAGCGAGUUGGAUAAGUCCUCGAGCCGAUAAGCGUUUUACCGGUGGCGACUCAGGGUAAUGUGUGCAAGUCCCCACGUCUUUUAUAGAGGUAUUCGUAUCUCUUUAAGGAUAUUAGGGGAAAGCCUAAUUUAUCACAGCUGCUACCACCUUGAACCAUAGGGUUCAAGGCCAUAUUCGACCGCGGCACAUUGGGAAACUU